Molecule: transfer RNA, 85 nt
Filed under: Blastococcus aggregatus
Lineage: Bacteria; Bacillati; Actinomycetota; Actinomycetes; Geodermatophilales; Geodermatophilaceae
Also listed under: 9 other names
Description: tRNA_Ser_GGA
Rfam family: tRNA
About the family: Transfer RNA (tRNA) molecules are approximately 80 nucleotides in length.
Source: RNAcentral
GGAGGAUUCGCCUAGUGGCCUAUGGCGCUCGCUUGGAAAGCGGGUUGGGAUAAAACCCUCGGGAGUUCGAAUCUCCCAUCCUCCG